RNAcentral lists this unclassified non-coding RNA (2603 nucleotides) under Hevea brasiliensis (rubber tree). Lineage: Eukaryota; Viridiplantae; Streptophyta; Magnoliopsida; Malpighiales; Euphorbiaceae. The record is from RNAcentral.
AAAAUUAACGCCAUCUUUUCUAUUUACCACUCGCAUUCCCUUCGAAACCCUAGCCCUCUUUUUUUCUUUGUCGAGCUCCAGCCUCAUUUUUUGUCUCCCAGACAUAUUUUUUCCGAUCACUCUCGCAUCAAAUUCCCAACCUAAAAUAAGCGACAUGGGUUCUAAAUCCAGGAGCGAUAACCCACACUCCGGAGAUGGUGCUAGCCCUGGGAAGAUUUUCAUCGGAGGAUUGGCUAAGGAUACCACAUAUGCUACCUUUAACAAGCAUUUUGGGAAAUAUGGGGAGAUAACUGAUUCAGUGAUCAUGAAAGAUCGGUACACAGGUCAGCCUAGGGGUUUUGGUUUUAUUACCUAUGCCGAUCCUUCAGUUGUUGAUAAGGUUAUUGAAGACACCCACAUCAUCAAUGGGAAACAGGUUGAGAUAAAGCGGACCAUUCCUAAAGGUUCUGGGCAAUCAAAGGAUUUUAAAACCAAGAAGAUAUUUGUUGGUGGAAUUCCAUCAUCAGUUACAGAAGAUGAGCUCAAGAAUUUCUUUUCGAAAUAUGGGAAAGUGGUGGAGCACCAGAUUAUACGGGAUCAUGAAACCAAUCGUUCUCGAGGAUUUGGAUUUAUAAUUUUUGACAGUGAAGAAAUUGUAGAUGAAAUGUUAUCUGAAGGAAAUAUGAUUGAUGUGGCUGGAACUCAGGUGAGCUUAUUUAGAUGGCCUGAAAGAAAUAAUAAUAAUGUAAAGAGAUCCUUGUUUGUGGUGCAGCUUUUUUCAUUGCUUUCUCCGUGUUCUUUUUCAAUGCAACCAUACCCUUUUCCCUUCCAUUUAUAGACUCAGUAAAGUCCUGUUAGUUACUUUUCUUAACUAUUUCUGAUUAGCAGUGAAGAUCAUGACAGGUGUAGAUUUCAGGAAAGGGCUCAUGAUAGUUUGCCUGCUGCGGAACCUAGGUUAACUAAGUUGCUUUGUUGUAGGUGGAGAUCAAGAAAGCUGAACCAAAGAAAGCCUCAAACCCACCACCUGCUCCUGCAUAUGGUAGCAACUCUAGGAGUCGUUCUUACAAUGACAGCUUUGGUGGAUUUGGAGGUUCUUAUGGGGGCUUUGAUGGAGGGUUUGGGCCUGGUCCCUAUAGGACUCCUGGGGGUCUGGGUAGUAGAUUUGGUGGUGGUGGUGGAUAUGGCUAUGGUAGUGAUGGCGGAGACUUCGGUGCUGGCUAUGGCAGUUUUGGUGGGAGUAGCUUAGGAGGUUACCGAGGUGAAUCUUCCCUUGGUUAUUCUGGUCGCUUUGGACCUUAUGGUGGUGGGUUUGGUGGGGCUUAUGGUGGUAGUGGUUUAGGUGGUUAUGGUCGGGGAGGUGAGGGAUAUGGAAGUUAUGGAGGUUCUGGUUACGGUGGGGGUUAUGAAUCUGGUCCAGGUGCUAGUUAUGGAGGAGCAGGUGGCCUGUAUGGAAGGGGAGGCUAUAGUGGCAGUAGUCGAUAUCAUCCUUAUGCAAGAUAGAAUGAAGCAUUUCAAUGCAGUUGCUUAAGCUUUGCAUAGAAGUUCCAAACAGGGUCAUCUAGUUUAAAGCAUUGUGAAACAGAUAGGCACUUUCCCACAUGUACUAGAAGUCUCCUAUCUCUGCGAUUGAGGAAAGCUUUUAAGGAUCAGAGGAUCUACUUUAUUAGAUUAUUUUCUUCUAUGUAUGUUUUAGACAGACUUCGUAGUUAUGCUCCAACUUAGUUCUUGGUGUGUCUGGUUUACUUGUUCUAGUUAUUUUAAUAGUCUGUGUUGUAGACAAUAGUAUCUUGGUUUGAAGCUUGAUGCUAUUUAUUUAGUUUGAUCUAGAUAGACGCUUUGUUAAUUUAUACCUGUUUGUUUUUAUAUAUACAGUGUAGCAGUUGGGCGUUUUACAUUGAUAUUUAUUCUUAGCUGGAUUCAGCUAGAUUUGAUUAUUUAUGGAUUAGGCAAACAUUUAAGAUGUGCCAUUCUCUUGCAACUAAGAACUCACUGUAGUUUUAUUUCAACGCCUUAAAAGAAAAAGAAAGAACCAACUAUAGAAUAUUGCAAUAAGAAGUCAUUCUAUAGUGUGUAGUAUGAAUGAACUUGAGACUACUUAGGUAAGCUUUCCAUGCAUUGAAAUUAUACCCGUUAGGACAGGUGAAAAUGAGUGGUGGUGGUUGGUCGCAGAUUGAAUUUACAUUCUUUUGGUUUCCAGGGCAAUUGGUGAUAAAGGGCAGUUUCUCGGCCUUGUUUUUGAAUGCUUUUAAUGUCUUGCUAUUGACCCUUGUCAAGUUUGCUUGGAGGAAACGAAUGGGUUUGUGUUUCUAAAAAUAUUCCAGUUGCAGUGCUUCUACUGCCAAAUGUAAUGUAGCCCAUUGUUUCUUCGAGUAUUUUCACAAUAAAUAUCUACUGUCCUUGGUUAACUUUGUUCAGAGAUGUGGGGAUAUAUUUUUCAAGACUAAGAUUGUUCUGUUGCUUAUGCUUAGCAGAAUUUGUUGCUGAUAAUUAUUACUAUUUUCUUUUGAUUGUAGUAGGGAUGAAUACUGAUUUUAUCUGGCAAUGAUAUGGGGAGGGCUAUCCCUAUUGCGCAGCCCAAACUUCCAUAUAAAAGAAAGAAACGUAUUUGAGCUAUAUUUUGGUCU